Sander lucioperca (pikeperch) is the source of this 123-nucleotide long non-coding RNA. RefSeq lists it as uncharacterized. The transcript has 3 exons. The record is from RefSeq and is a predicted model, not a curated record. Lineage: Eukaryota; Metazoa; Chordata; Actinopteri; Perciformes; Percidae.
GAGGAAAAUAAAGAAAUGUUUGAGAACGUGCCGCCUGACAUAAAAUUAAUAUUGAGCAGAAGUGAGUUUAGCCUAUUGGUCCGGCCCUCCACAACAGUCCCUGUUUCUCAUGUGGCCCCUUGG